UACGGAGGGUGCAAGCGUUAUCCGGAUUUACUGGGUUUAAAGGGUGUGUAGGCGGAUUAUUAAGUCAGCGGUGAAAUCUCCGGGCUCAACCCGGAAACUGCCAUUGAUACUAUUAGUCUUGAAUAUUGUUGAGGUGGGCGGAACGGGUCAUGUAGCGGUGAAAUGCAUAGAUAUGACCCGGAACACCGAUUGCGAAGGCAGCCCACUAAGCAAUGAUUGACGCUGAGGCACGAAAGCGUGGGGGAAUCAAACAGGAGUUAGAAUACCC
RNAcentral lists this ribosomal RNA (268 nucleotides) under uncultured bacterium. RNAcentral's name for it is "partial 16S ribosomal RNA". It matches the Rfam family "Bacterial small subunit ribosomal RNA", at positions 524 to 787 of the family's 1533-position model. The record is from RNAcentral.